RNAcentral lists this ribosomal RNA (576 nucleotides) under Streptococcus infantis. RNAcentral's name for it is "partial 23S ribosomal RNA". It matches the Rfam family "Bacterial large subunit ribosomal RNA", at positions 1 to 618 of the family's 2925-position model. The record is from RNAcentral. Lineage: Bacteria; Bacillati; Bacillota; Bacilli; Lactobacillales; Streptococcaceae.
GGUUAAGCGACUAAGCGUACACGGUGGAUGCCCUGGCAGUCAGAGGCGAUGAAGGACGUGCUAAUCUGCGAAAAGCGUCGGUAAGGUGAUAUGAACCGUUAUAACCGGCGAUGUCCGAAUGGGGAAACCCAGUGCAAUUCGUUGCACUAUCGUUAACUGAAUACAUAGGUUAACGAGGCGAACCGGGGGAACUGAAACAUCUAAGUACCCCGAGGAAAAGAAAUCAACCGAGAUUCCCCCAGUAGCGGCGAGCGAACGGGGAGCAGCCCAGAGUCUGAAUCAGCUUGUGUGUUAGUGGAACGGUCUGGAAAGUCCGACGGUACAGGGUGAUAGUCCCGUACACCAAAAUGCACAGGCUGUGAACUCGAAGAGUAGGGCGGGACACGUGGUAUCCUGUCUGAAUAUGGGGGGACCAUCCUCCAAGGCUAAAUACUCCUGACUGACCGAUAGUGAACCAGUACCGUGAGGGAAAGGCGAAAAGAACCCCGGCGAGGGGAGUGAAAAAGAACCUGAAACCGUGUACGUACAAGCAGUGGGAGCACCUUCGGGUGUGACUGCGUACCUUUUGUAUAAUGG